AUGUUACUAUCUUAAUAAUCAACCUGGUCAAAACCUUUCAGGUUUCUUCGUUUGAGUCAGUCGCCUUGAUUCAGAAUGUCACGAGCCUUAAGAUUUCAUGCUGAGGCGCCUUGCAAAUCCGACACUUAAGAUCCUCCUAGACCUUGAGGUGAUCAGCAUAAGAGGCCAGAUCCCCUCGAGCCAUCUACACGUAGCUUCACCUUAUUCUUUAAGGGCAGAAAAUUUGAGACGGUGACCGCCGUAACAGUAAAUUUGGCUUUCAGUUGGGGCCCCCCCUCCGGUUUAGAAAGAGGAACACCAGAUUGACCACAUUCCCAGCUAGAAAAAUCUUCUUGCGUCAAUCAAGCCUCACCCUGGCUCAUUGGGCUGUCAGUUUGAUCGUCGUUAGAUUGAAGAGAACACCUAGAUGCAGCGAUCGGCUAUAGAUACUUCUAGAUCGUCUAGAUCUGCUAGACCUUGGGCCAAAGAGGGUCGACCUGCAAACUUGCAAGGUUUAUUUUAAAUACGCAUUACAGUGUUUUUUAUUCUAAUGUAAUUCUGCAAUGUAAUUCAGCUUUUAACAUUUUUCUAGGUAGUAAAAUUGCUCAAGACAAGUAGGCCCAGAGAUUUUUCCAACUCACAGAUGCUAGUGAUGUGGUUUUUGUUUUUGUUUUUAUUUUAUUUUUAGUUGUCUGAAAGUUUUGACUUCAGCAGGGCCUCACAUGUAGCGUGUGGCUGAAGCUGUUUUCUGAUACGUGUUUUCUCCAACCUAACCCCAGGUCCCGGUCUAGAUCCCGUUCCAGGUCCCGUGGAAGGAGGUAUUCUCGGUCACGCAGUCGAAGUCGUGGUAGGAGAUCAAGGUCAGCUUCCUACCGCAGGUCCAGGUCAAUCUCUCCUCGUAGGUAUAGAUCAUUUUCACCUCGGAGGUCACGAUCUGGAUCCAUAAGGAGAUCAAGGUCUAGGUCGAGAUCGCGCUCAAGGUCUCGGUCUGUUGUAUGGCCUCGAAGCAGGUCUGGGUCCCAUGGUAGAUCUAAAUCUGGCUUACCUGCUAAAAGUCGCUCAAAGUCCAGAUCACCAUCUCCAAAGAGAAGUCAUUCACCAUCAGGAAGCCCUUGAAGGAGUGCAUGUCCUGAAAGAAUGGAUUCAAGUUAAAAAGUUUAAGAAGAAAAUUUAUUUUGUUUACAUUAUUAUAAGGGAUUUUGUGCUGUCUUUAUAAAUGUAAGGGCUUAGUCCUAGAAGGCUGUUUCUAUUGACUAACAACAAGUGGCAUGAUUGGAUCUUUUAAAAGUCUUAUUAGUAGACUAAUGCAAAACUCCUUUGUUGUGUUAAUGUUCUGUGAUCUGGAACUGUUGGGCUUUUUUAUUGGCGCAUUGAAAUAAACUGUGCAUUUCUAACUAAGAAA
This is a long non-coding RNA of Oxyura jamaicensis (ruddy duck), 1381 nucleotides long. RefSeq lists it as uncharacterized. Lineage: Eukaryota; Metazoa; Chordata; Aves; Anseriformes; Anatidae. The record is from RefSeq and is a predicted model, not a curated record. The transcript is spliced from 6 exons.